AAAGAUUAAGCCAUGCAUGUCUAAGCACAUGCCUUAAUACGGUGAAGCCGCGAAUAGCUCAUUACAACAGCCACCGUUUACUAGAAUAUAGUUAUCCUACUUGGAUAACUGUGGCAAUUCUAGAGCUAAUACAUGCAAAAAAGCUCUGCCCGCAAGGAACGAGCGCAUUUAUUAGAAUAAAAACCAAUCGGGUUUCGGCCCGUAAUUUGGUGAAUCUGAAUAACUUUGCCAAUCGCACAGUCCUAGUACUGGCGAUGUAUCUUUCAAGUGUCUGCCUUAUCAACUUUCGAUGGUAGGUUAUACGCCUACCAUGGUAGUAACGGGUAACGGAGAAAAAGGGUUCGACUCCGGAGAGGGAGCCUGAGAAACGGCUACCACAUCCAAGGAAGGCAGCAGGCGCGCAAAUUACCCACUUCCAGAACGGAGAGGUAGUGACGAAAAAUAACGAGACAGUCCUCUUCGAGGUCUGUCAUCGGAAUGGGUACAAUUUAAAUCCUUUAACGAGGAUCUAUUGGAGGGCAAGUCUGGUGCCAGCAGCCGCGGUAAUUCCAGCUCCAAUAGCGUAUAUUAAAGUUGUUGCGGUUAAAACGCUCGUAGUUGGAUCUGCGGCCUCGGAGAACGGUCCCCCGAAAGGGUGGUCACUGUCUCUCCUAGCCUAAAUUCGAGUCGUCUCUAGGUGCUCUUUACCGGGUGCUUAGAGUGACUAGAACGUUUACUUUGAAAAAAUUAGAGUGCUUAAAGCAGGCGAAAUAGCCUGAAUAAGGUGCAUGGAAUAAUGGAAUAGGACCUCGGUUCUAUUUUGUUGGUUUUCGGAACCCGAGGUAAUGAUUAAGAGGAACAGACGGGGGCAUUCGUAUUCCGGCGCUAGAGGUGAAAUUCUUGGACCGCCGGAAGACGGACGACUGCGAAAGCAUUUGCCAAGAAUG
RNAcentral lists this ribosomal RNA (926 nucleotides) under Aporcelaimellus obtusicaudatus. RNAcentral's name for it is "SSU rRNA". It matches the Rfam family "Eukaryotic small subunit ribosomal RNA", at positions 39 to 966 of the family's 1831-position model. Lineage: Eukaryota; Metazoa; Nematoda; Enoplea; Dorylaimida; Aporcelaimidae. The record is from RNAcentral.